This 480-nucleotide ribosomal RNA is filed under the name uncultured bacterium. RNAcentral describes it as "bacterial SSU rRNA". It matches the Rfam family "Bacterial small subunit ribosomal RNA", at positions 30 to 506 of the family's 1533-position model. The record is from RNAcentral.
UUGAACGCUGGCGGAAUGCUUUACACAUGCAAGUCGAGCGGCAGCGCGGGGCAACCUGGCGGCGAGCGGCGAACGGGUGAGUAACAUAUCGGAACGUACCCUAUCGUGGGGGAUAACACAUCGAAAGAUGUGCUAAUACCGCAUACGACCUGAGGGUGAAAGCGGGGGAUCGCAAGACCUCGCGCGACAGGAGCGGCCGAUAUCGGAUUAGCUAGUUGGUGAGGUAAAGGCUCACCAAGGCGACGAUCCGUAGCUGGUCUGAGAGGACGACCAGCCACACUGGAACUGAGACACGGUCCAGACUCCUACGGGAGGCAGCAGUGGGGAAUUUUGGACAAUGGGGGCAACCCUGAUCCAGCCAUUCCGCGUGAGUGAAGAAGGCCUUCGGGUUGUAAAACUCUUUCGGCAGGAACGAAACGGUGAGCUCUAACAUAGCUUGCUAAUGACGGUACCUGAAGAAGAAGCACCGGCUAACUACGU